This 781-nucleotide ribosomal RNA is filed under the name uncultured bacterium. RNAcentral describes it as "bacterial SSU rRNA". It matches the Rfam family "Bacterial small subunit ribosomal RNA", at positions 33 to 777 of the family's 1533-position model. The record is from RNAcentral.
ACGCUGGCGGAUGCUUUACACACGACAAGUUGAGCGGCAGCGCGGGACUCAGGCAACUAGAGCCCUAGGCGGCGAGCGGCGAACGGGUGAGUAAUAGCAUACGGAACGUAGUACCCGUAGUAGGGGGAUAACUCGGCGAAAGCCGAGCUAAUACCGCAUAUAGCUCUACGGAGGAAAGCAGGGGACCUGCAAGGGCCUUGCGCUAUGGGAGCGGCCGAUGUACCGAUAUAGCUAGUAUGGUAGGGGUAAUAGGCCUACCAAGGCGACGAUCGGUAGCUGGUCUGAGAGGAUAGAUACAGCACACUGGGACUGAGACACGGCCAGACUCCUACGGGAGGCAGCAGUGGGGAAUUUUGGACAUGGGGGCAACCCUGAUACCAGCCAUGCCGCGUGCGGGAAGAAGGCCUUCGGGUAUGUAAACCGCUUUUGGCCGGGAAGAAAAGGGCGGGGCGAAUAGCCCUGUCAUUUAGACGGUACCGGCAGAAUAAGCACCGGCUAACUACGUGCCAGCAGCCGCGGUAAUACGUAGGGUGCGAGCGUUAAUCGGAAUUACUGGGCGUAAAGCGUGCGUAGGUGGUUCGUGUGUCUGUGGUGAAAGCCCCGGGCUUAACCUGGGAAAUGGCCAUGGAAACUGGCGAGCUGGAGUACUAGGCAGAGGGGGGUGGAAUUCCGGUGUAGCAGUGAAAUGCGUAGAGAAUGGCGGAGGAACACCGAUGGCGAAGGCAGCCCCUGGGCUAAGACUGACGCUAGAGGGACACGAAAGCGUGGGGAGCAAACCAGG